This 364-nucleotide ribosomal RNA is filed under the name uncultured bacterium. Its description in RNAcentral is "bacterial SSU rRNA". It matches the Rfam family "Bacterial small subunit ribosomal RNA", at positions 28 to 402 of the family's 1533-position model. The record is from RNAcentral.
GACGAACGCUGGCGGCGUGCAUAACACAUGCAAGUCACGGGGGCCAGCAAUGGCAACCGGCGAACGGGUGCGUAACACGUAAGCGACCUACCUCGAUGUGGGGCAUAGCCGGCCUAACGGCCGGGUAAUUCCGCAUGUGAUCCUUGAGGGGCAUAUCUCGGGGAUGAAACCAGUAAUGGGCAUUGAGAGGGGCUUGCGGCCUAUCAGCUUGUUGGCGGGGUAACGCUCACCAAGGCGACGACGGGUAGCUGGUCUGAGAGGAUGGCCAGCCACAUUGGGACUGAGAAACGGCCCAGACUCCUACGGGAGGCAGCAGUGGGGAAUCUUGCGCAAUGGCCUAACGGCUGACGCAGCGACGCCGCGU